Molecule: ribosomal RNA, 497 nt
Filed under: uncultured bacterium
Lineage: Bacteria
Description: partial 16S ribosomal RNA
Rfam family: Bacterial small subunit ribosomal RNA
Source: RNAcentral
GAUGAACGCUGGCGGCGUGCCUAAUACAUGCAAGUCGAGCGAACGGACGCGAAGCUUGCUUCUCUGAUGUUAGCGGCGGACGGGUGAGUAACACGUGGAUAACCUACCUAUAAGACUGGGAUAACUUCGGGAAACCGUAGCUAAUACCGGAUAAUAUUUUGAACCGCAUGGUUCAAAAGUGAAAGACGGUCUUGCUGUCACUUAUAGAUGGAUCCGCGCUGCAUUAGCUAGUUGGUAAGGUAACGGCUUACCAAGGCAACGAUGCAUAGCCGACCUGAGAGGGUGAUCGGCCACACUGGAACUGAGACACCGUCCAGACUCCUACGGGAGGCAGCAGUAGGCAAUCUUCCGCAAUGGGCGAAAGCCUGACGGAGCGACGCCGCGCGAGUUAUGAAGGUCUUCGGAUCGUAAAACUCUGUUAUUAGUGAAGAACAUAUGUGUAAGUAACUGUGCACAUCGUGACGGUACCUAAUCAGAAAGCCACGGCUAACUACGUG